RNAcentral lists this transfer RNA (72 nucleotides) under Fukomys damarensis (Damara mole-rat). It matches the Rfam family "tRNA". Rfam says of the family: Transfer RNA (tRNA) molecules are approximately 80 nucleotides in length. Lineage: Eukaryota; Metazoa; Chordata; Mammalia; Rodentia; Bathyergidae. The record is from Rfam by way of RNAcentral.
GGGGAUGUAGCUUAGUGGCAGAGCACUUGCCUAGCGCGUGCGAGGUCCUGGGCUCAAUCCCCAGCACUGCCA